Molecule: ribosomal RNA, 163 nt
Filed under: Thapsia maxima
Lineage: Eukaryota; Viridiplantae; Streptophyta; Magnoliopsida; Apiales; Apiaceae
Description: 5.8S ribosomal RNA
Rfam family: 5.8S ribosomal RNA
About the family: 5.8S ribosomal RNA (5.8S rRNA) is a component of the large subunit of the eukaryotic ribosome. It is transcribed by RNA polymerase I as part of the 45S precursor that also contains 18S and 28S rRNA.
Source: RNAcentral
AAAUGACUCUCGGCAACGGAUAUCCUGGCUCUCGCAUCGAUGAAGAACGUAGCGAAAUGCGAUACUUGGUGUGAAUUGCAGAAUCCCGUGAACCAUCGAGUCUUUGAACGCAAGUUGCGCCCGAAGCCAUUAGGCUGAGGGCACGUCUGCCUGGGUGUCACGC